RNAcentral lists this ribosomal RNA (490 nucleotides) under uncultured bacterium. RNAcentral's name for it is "bacterial SSU rRNA". It matches the Rfam family "Bacterial small subunit ribosomal RNA", at positions 28 to 507 of the family's 1533-position model. The record is from RNAcentral.
GAUGAACGCUAGCGGCAGGCCUAACGCAUGCAAGUCGAGGGGCAGCACAAAGAUAGUUUACUAUUUUGGUGGCGACCGGCGCACGGGUGAGUAACGCGUAUGCAACCUACCUUAUACAGGAGUAUAGCCCGAAGAAAUUCGGAUUAAUCCUCCAUAGUAUUUUCUAAUGGCAUCAUUUGGAAAAUUAAAGCUUCGGCGGUAUAAGAUGGGCAUGCGUCCUAUUAGCUAGAUGGUAAGGUAACGGCUUACCAUGGCAACGAUAGGUAGGGGGCCUGAGAGGGUGAUCCCCCACACUGGUACUGAGACACGGACCAGACUCCUACGGGAGGCAGCAGUGAGGAAUAUUGGGCAAUGGAGGCAACUCUGACCCAGCCAUGCCGCGUGCAGGAAGAAUGCCCUAUGGGUUGUAAACUGCUUUUAUUUAGGAAUAAACCCUUCUACGUGUAGAAGGCUGAAUGUACUAAACGAAUAAGCACCGGCUAACUCCGUG